AGAUGGAACGAAAGGUCCUUUCGGGUUCUGGAGAGUGGCGCACGGGCUGAAUAACGCGUGGGGACCUACCUCUUAGUGGGGGAUAACGGUUGGAAACGACCGCUAAUACCGCAUACGCCCUUCGGGGGAAAAGAUUUAUCGCUAAGAGAUGGACCCGCGUUGGAUUAUAUAGUUGGUGAGGUAACGGCUCACCAAGCCGGAGAUCCAUAGCUGGUUUGAGAGGAUGAUCCCCCCCACUGGGACUGAGACACGCCCCCAGACUCCUACGGGAGUGCAUUGGUGGGUACAUUAUUGGACAAGUGGGGGCAACCC
RNAcentral lists this ribosomal RNA (312 nucleotides) under uncultured Alphaproteobacteria bacterium. Its description in RNAcentral is "partial 16S ribosomal RNA". It matches the Rfam family "Bacterial small subunit ribosomal RNA", at positions 64 to 383 of the family's 1533-position model. The record is from RNAcentral. Lineage: Bacteria; Pseudomonadati; Pseudomonadota; Alphaproteobacteria.